This 406-nucleotide ribosomal RNA is filed under the name uncultured bacterium. RNAcentral's name for it is "partial 16S ribosomal RNA". It matches the Rfam family "Bacterial small subunit ribosomal RNA", at positions 29 to 526 of the family's 1533-position model. The record is from RNAcentral.
AUUGAACGCUGGCGGCAGGCUUAACACAUGCAAGUCGAGCGAGCGGCGGACGGGUGAGUAAUGUCUGGGCAACUGCCUGAUGGAGGGGGAUAACUACUGGAACCGGUAGCUAAUACCGCAUACCAUCAGAUGUGCCCAGAUGGGAUUAGCUAGUAGGUGGGGUAAUGGCUCACCAAGGCGACGAUCCCUAGCUGGUCUGAGAGGAUGACCAGCAACACUGGAACUGAGACACGGUCCAGACGCCGACGGGAGGAAGCAGUAGGGAAUAGUGCACAAUGGGCGAAAGCCUGAUGCAGAAAUGCCGCGUGUGUGAAGAAGGCCUUCGGGUUGUAAAGCACUGUCAGCGAGGAGGAGUUACUCGCAGAAGAAGCACCGGCUAACUCCGUGCCAGCAGCCGCGGUAAUAC